CUAGUACUUCCUCCGUUCGGAAUUACUUGUUUCAGAAAUAAAUGUAUCUAGAACUAGAAUAUGUCUAGAUACAUCUGUUUCCGCGUCAAGUAAUUUCGAACGGAGGGAGUAUAUA
Molecule: non-coding RNA, 115 nt
Organism: Triticum aestivum (bread wheat)
Lineage: Eukaryota; Viridiplantae; Streptophyta; Magnoliopsida; Poales; Poaceae
Source: Rfam